CGGACGGGUGAGUAAUGUCUGGGAAACUGCCCGAUGGAGGGGAUAACUACUGGAAACGGUAGCUAAUACCGCAUAACGUCGCAAGACCAAAGAGGGGGACCUUCGGGUCUCUUGCCAUCGGAUGUGCCCAGAUGGGAUUAGCUAGUAGGUGGGGUAACGGCUCACCUAGGCGACGAUCCCUAGCUGGUCUGAGAGGAUGACCAGCCACACUGGAACUGAGACACGGUCCAG
This 231-nucleotide ribosomal RNA is filed under the name uncultured bacterium. RNAcentral describes it as "partial 16S ribosomal RNA". It matches the Rfam family "Bacterial small subunit ribosomal RNA", at positions 99 to 334 of the family's 1533-position model. The record is from RNAcentral.